This 3421-nucleotide long non-coding RNA is filed under the name Mus musculus (house mouse). RNAcentral describes it as "long non-coding RNA chr2:6479689-6483110". Lineage: Eukaryota; Metazoa; Chordata; Mammalia; Rodentia; Muridae. The record is from RNAcentral.
GUAUGGAAUGGGAGUGUGAGUGUCAUAGGUGAGCGGCUCCUCUGCCCCUCCAUUUCCUUCUCUGCUGUUUAUGUCAUGCUGAUGGAUGCCUCUGCUGCCUUUUGUCUUCUGAGCUGUGACUCUGUUGUGGGGAAGCAGGGGAUUCCCAAGGAAAGCCAAGGCCACCAAGGCCAGCUGGUAAGCCGGGAGUUCUCACCUCUGCUUGUCUCCAGAAAGUGACAGGGCAGACCCACCUGUCUCCUAGAAGCAGAUCCUCAGACAGCCUUCUCGCCAGGCAGGGGUGGGCAUCUUUCAGGUAUAAACUCAGAAUAUCAUCACGGGUGAUGUCAAACCCUGACUAGUGGUGUCUAUUCAGCUCUGUGUGUACACGAGAGAAAGUGUGGCCUCACAUUCCCAAGCCCCACAGGAGUAGAUUUAGAAUGUCAGUGCCUGGUCAUGGCAAUGGCUACUGUUUCUCUUUUCUUUUCUUUUCUUUUCUUUUCUUUUCUUUUCUUUUCUUUUCUUUUCUUUUCUUUUCCUUUCCUUUCCUUUCCUUUCCUUUCUUUUUUCUUUUCUUUUCUUUUUUUCUCUUUUCUUUUUUUCUCUUCUCUUUUCUUCCUUUUCUUUUUUUUACUGGAUAUUUUCUUUAUUUACAUUUCAAAUAUUUUCUUCUUUCCAGAUCUCCCCUUUGGAAACUCCCUAUCCUAUGCCCCCUCCUUCUGCCUCUAUAAAGGUGCUCCCCCACCUACCCACUCCUGCCUUCCUGCCCUGGCAUUCCCAAGGGCCUCUCCUCCUACUGAUGUCCGACAAGUCCAUCCUCUGUGAACUCUUCAGAGAGGCUGUGAACUGGCUAGUUUGUGUCAACUUGACACAGACUAGAGUUAUCACAGAGAAAGGAGCUUCAGUUGGGGAAAUGCCUCCAUGAGAUCCAGCUGUAAGGCAUUUUCUCAGUUAGUGAUCAAGGGGGGAAGGCCCCUUGUGGGUGGGACCAUCUCUGGGCUGGUAGUCUUGGUUCUAUAAGGGAGCAGGCUGAGCAAGCCAGGGGAAGCAAGCCAGUAAGUAACAUCCCUCCAUGGCCUCUGCAUCAGCUCCUGCUUCCUGACCUGUUUGAGUCCCAGUCCUGACUUCCUUGGUGAUGAACAGCAAUGUGGAAGUGUAAACUGAAUAAACCCUUCCCUCCCCAACUUGCUUCUUGGUCAUGAUGUUUGUGCAGGACUAGAAACCCUGACUAAGACACUCUGCCACAUAUGAAGCUGGAGCCAUGGGUCCCUCCAUUGUAGUCUUUGGUUGGUGGUCAAGUCCUCAUGAUCUCUGGGGGUGUCUGGCCUGUUUACAUUGUUGAUACCCCCAUGGGGCUGCAAACCCCCUCAGCUCCUUUAGUCUCUUCUCCAAUUCUCCAUCGGGGACCCCACACUCAGUUGAAUGGUUGGCUGCAAGCUUCCGCCUUUGUAUUUGUCAGGCUCUGGUGGAGUCUCUCCGGAGACGUGGCUAGUGUUUCUAAAAGGCUUUGUAUUGCCUCGAAGAAUGCUCCAAAUAGAUUAUUUCAUUGAAAUCAUCCCUUUAGUGCAAGGUGUCUCCCAUGUGGUUCUGGGUGCAGCAGUAGACACAAGACAGCCACACAACAGGCUACUAUUUAACCUAGAAAAAAGAAGACUCUAAUACUUGGCCAUCAUGUGGAUGAUCCUUGAAGAUAGGAUGCCAAGAGAAAUAAACGCAUUACAAAAAGACAAACACUGGAAUUUCACUCACAGGAGAUCCCCGGAGUGUGGAGUGGCAGCCAAGGUCUGGGGAAGGAGGCUAUAGGAAGCCAUUGAUUAGUAGAGGCAGAGGUUUCCUUUUACAAGGGCCCUGGGAGGGAUGCUGAUGUUGGCUAUGUGGAUGCAUGCUCGCUGCCCUUCAGCACACACUUUAAGGUAGCCAGGAUGGAACAGUGUGCAUACUUGUAUUUUAGCAUUAUUUAAAAGAUGAUGCCUGAUGGCGUCCUGUUGUGAAGGCAAGGGAGGGGCUCCUGAGGACCCCCCCAUUCCUAAGAAUUUAUUCACUGUUAAGGGUUGAUGGGGAAAGGAGGAGACAUGAGCUCUGACUCGGUUCUCACUUUAUUUUGUUUUUGCAAUGCUAAGGUUCCAAGAUCUCAAGCCUAAGCCUUUUUUUAAAGUUUUUUUUCCGAGGAUUAUAUUUAUUUUCUAUAUGUUUGCCUGAAUCUGUGUCUCUGUGCCCUGUGUUCACAGAGGCCCAACGAAGGUGUCUGAUCUCCUAGGACUAGAGUUACAGAUGACUGGGAGCCAUCAUGUGGGUACUGGGAAUUGAACCUGGGUCCUCUGGAAGAACGGCCAGAGCUAUUUCUCCAGCCCUAUAAAUUAUUACUAUUGCGUGUCUAUGAAGUUUCUCAGGUAACUCGACAGCUGCGAGCGAGAACCACAGAUUCUCAGCUCUGAUCACACCCUUGAACCAACUAGGCAGCGGGAGACUGCUGACGUCCAGGUCAUGUCCCUUGGGGCUCCUUGGCCAAAGCUGGAGUGGCCUCUUGGAGACAGGGUUUCUAAAAGCUCACAGAAUAGCCAGGGCUGAGCUGAUGACAGCAACUGUGAGACAGUCAGCUCACUGAGGCCAGCCACAUCUUCCAGGGUCACACGACACUGUAAACAAGCUCUUGGAAGUUCAAAAUGUUCAUGUCUUUUAAAAUCAAAAUGAGAAAAACCAUACUUUUAACCUUUUAGUUUGAAAAAGGUUAUUUAUUGUUAUAUACAUGUCAUACAAUAUAAUUUUAUGGAUUUUGGGAACAAGAAGAGCCCAUGGAGGUCUCUGGGUAGCCACUAGCUGAUUGCCUGUUAGUGCUACCUGGUUCCCUGUUCAGGCCUUUGCAGCCCAUAUGAGAGAAAGACUCACAGCAUUAAGUAGGUCAGGGACAACAAGAAGCGUGGCCAUGGAGUGGGGGUGGGGAGAGAGGCCUCAUGGAGCUAAAGCUGUGAAGGGAGCUUGAGGGAUUUGGAGAGGUCAGGCUGAGGAGGAGAGAGGGAAACGGAUGAGGGAGCCACCUAGAAAUACUGUCCAGGGCAUGAGCCAGCCUGUAAGGAGCUUCCCGUUUGCUGCUGGUCUCUGUGACAGCCUUUCUGUCUGCUAAUAGCCAGUCUUUGUUCUCUCCCAACCCUCAACCUGCACUGGGCCCUAGGCUUUCUACCUCCUUCAGUCCUUCCCUUUCCUGUGUGUGUGUGUGUGUGUGUGUGUGUGUGAGUGUGCUCCGUGUGCAUGCAGGUGCCUGUGGAGGUCAGAUCAAGAUGGAACUGAAGUUACAAGUGGUUAUUAGCUGUCAUGUGUGUGGUGGGAAUAAACUCAGAUCCUCUGGCAGAGCUGUCUUUUCAGCCCUCCACAGAACUGUUAGCAUUAUUAGCUUUCAGAAUUUCAUGUGGAUAAGAAGGAAACUUCUAGAACUGUCAAAUUACCC